RNAcentral lists this ribosomal RNA (2390 nucleotides) under Uncinocarpus reesii 1704. RNAcentral describes it as "Bacterial large subunit ribosomal RNA". It matches the Rfam family "Bacterial large subunit ribosomal RNA", at positions 1 to 2516 of the family's 2925-position model. The record is from Rfam by way of RNAcentral. Lineage: Eukaryota; Fungi; Ascomycota; Eurotiomycetes; Onygenales; Onygenaceae.
UAUAAGUAUAUAAAGAAACUAUUAUGGAUAAUUAGCUAUAUAUUAAAGAAGAAAGAUUAAUCUAAUUCUAAAAUAAAUUCAGUAAUAAAGAAAGUGAAUUGAAAUAUCUUAAUAACUUUUAAAAAAAAAAAUCAAACGAGAUUCUAAGUUUAGUGUAAAAUUAAAAUUAGAGAAGCUUACAAGUAAAAUGGAUAAGAUCUGUUUGAAUAAAGGGGAACCUUCCUCUAAAGCUAAAUAUAAUAUAUAAGCGAUAGAGAAAGUACCGUGAGGGAAAAUUUGAAAUAGUAGUUUUAUAAGCAGCUCAAGUAAAAAUUUAAAUAAAAAAAAAAUGAGUGUACCUUUUGUAUAAUGGGUCAGUAAGUUAAUAUUAGAAGCAAGCAAAUUAAAUAAAAAUUUGCCCAGUUAAACCAAUUAUGAGAAAAUGAUAUAGUUUCUAAUUUUAGACCCGAAGACUAGUGAUCUUACUAUGAUCAGGAUUAUAAAAGUCCGAACGGGUUAUCGUGGUAAAGAUAUCCGAAGAAUUGUGGUAAGUUAGUGAAAGACAAAACAGACUAGUAUAGCUGGUUUUCCGCGAAACCUAUGUAAGUAGGUAAUUUAAUUAACAUCUUAGCAGGUACAGAACUGUGAUCUCGAGCAAAAUAAGUUUUAUGCUCACAUCGGGGAAUCGUGAAGAUUUUAUCGGAGAGUAUUUGCACUCGGAAGGGCAAAGAUGAAUGUUAAAUAAUCAGACAUAGUGCGAUAAGGUUGUAUGUCGAAAGGGAAACAGCCCAGAACAAGUGUUAUAAGGUUCCAAAAUUAUUGUUAAGUGAAAUUAAGGAUAUUUUAUCAAAAACAAUCAGGAAAUAGGCUUAGAAGCUGCCAUUUUUUGAAGACCUCGUAAUAGAGCACUGAUUAAAAAAAAUUUUUUUUUAGAUAAAAAUACCUAAAAUUUAACGGAUCUAAACAAUAUACCGAAACCUUGUACGUAUAUAUAUAUAAUAUAAUGUAAUAUAUACGGGGUAGCGGAACAAUGGAUAAAUAUUAGAUUAUAUCUUUUUAAGAUUUAAAAUAAAGAUGAUCCAAGAGAGAAUGCUGACAUGAGUAACGAAAAAGGAAUAAAUUUCCUCGCCUUAAGCUUAUGGUAUUUUAUUUAAAUUUCGGUAUCUAAGUUAUACCCCUAAGGGGAAAUUAAAUAUUUAUAUUUGAGCACGAUGAAAAAGAGAAUAUUGUUAAUAAAACCUUUAUUUAGUGAUAAAGGUUCUGGAAAUUAUAACAAUUAAAUUUAUAUUCUCACUUAAGUAAUUAAGUUAAUAAACCGUACCUAAAUACUAACACAAGUAAGCAAGUAGAGAAUACAAAGGCGUUUGAGUGAACAAUCCUUAAGGAACUCGGCAAAUUGACUACCGUAACUUCGGGAUAAGGAGAGCCAUUAUUCUUGAUAAAUAUAAAAAAAAAUUUUUUUUUUGUAUUAACAUAUCAAGUAAAUAAGAGGAAGCAUAAAAUAAUGUUGUACGACUGUUUAAUAAAAACAAAGCACUCUGCAAAGAAAAAUUAUCAAAGUAUUGAGUGUGAUGUCUGCCCUAUGUCGGCUGGGUAACGGAUUUACUUAAUUUAAAAAGUUAGGUUUUGAAGGAUACCCCGAUUAAUGGCGGCCUUACCUAUAAGGGUCCAAAGGUAGCAAAAUUUCUUGGCCGCUAAAUACGGUCCUGCAUGAAUGAUUUAACGAUACAACAGCUGUCUCGAGGAUUGGCUCAGUGAAAUUGAAAUAGCAGUGAAGAUGCUGCUUACCUCUAGAUAGACGAGAAGACCCUAUGCAGCUUUACUGUUACUAAUUAUGGAUAUAGUAUGAUAAUUUCCAGCGUAUAAGGUAAUUGAAAAAUGUAAAUGAAACACCUUUAUUUGUUCUAUUAUAUUCUUUAUGAUUGGAAGGCAGUUUAUGCGGGGCACAGAUCCCAUAAAAAGUACCUGGGUAUAUCCAAAGUUCAAAUUGUAAAUUUGUAAAUUAUAAUUUACAAAAAUAAUUUAUAAAUAUAUUUAUAAAUUAUUUUUCUUUUAUUUUGUUAUUAAUUAUAAAUAAUUAUCCAGUUAUUAUUGUAUUAAAUACGAUUUAUUUUUUUAAUUUAGGUAAGAUUUUAACUAUAUGGUAAAUAGAUGUAGAUUAAAUAUUAAUCAAUUAAUUGAUUAAUAUUUAAUUAUAUUAAUAAAGAAUAAUUAUCUUUAUUAAUAUGAUAAUUAAAUAUACUUUAAAAGUUUAAUGGCUUAAUCUUGCUUUACUGUUUGACUUACAAGUCUAUCAGUCGCGUAAGCGGGGCAUAUGAUCACAAGAUGCAGAAAGGAAAGGUCUUGGAUUAUAGAAAAAGUUACGCUAGGGAUUACUUGUUAGUCCUCCAAUAUUUUGAAAUAUUGGUAAA